GCCAGCAGCCAUAUCACUCUGUAGCUCACAACUGGCAACCCACUUGAGCUCAGCAGGUGUGGGCCUAGUCAGUACCUGGAUGGGAGACCUCCUGGGAAAAACUAAGGUUGCUGCUGGGA
This 119-nucleotide ribosomal RNA is filed under the name Lepisosteus oculatus (spotted gar). The record is from RNAcentral. Lineage: Eukaryota; Metazoa; Chordata; Actinopteri; Semionotiformes; Lepisosteidae.